CAGCAGCCUCUGGAAGAGCUCUAUAGUCAAAUAGUUUGGAGUUUCAACUUUUAAGGCAGAAGAUGACAGUGAAGUGUACUCAGUUCAGAUUUCAUCUGCCAAUGUUGAAAGGUUGAUGAGAAAGGACUGCUAUGCUGAAGAGCAAGGUUUCCAAAAACAGAAUAGCUCAACCUACAAAAUGAUGUUGGAAAGAAGUUGCAGAGGAGCAGGCGAAGGCCAAGGACCUAAAAAGGAAAAGCAGGCAUGGGGAAAUGGGGCUGGAGAGCUCACAAAUAUUUAUGGGGCAUGCAGCUCCUCUGCUAAGUGCUUUCACAGCUCAAAUCAUUUAAUUGGGAAGGUAUAAUCCCAAAGCUAUAUCAAAUAGCAUUUAGAGUUACAAAACAGAAUUUAUAUUUCAGGCUAAAAGCAAUAUCAGGGUUAGAAGGAAGCGACACUGCCUGAGAAAUAGAUGUGGGAAGAAGGGCCAUAGCAACAAUGUGUCUUGGAAUGGGCCAUAAGAACCAAUUAUUGGCCGAGGUUAUCGGGAAAAUACUAGGGCAUAUGUUGUGAUCAUAAGCAAAGAGUUUAUUGCAUCUUAUUUAAAAGCAUGUGUGGCAUCAGGGGGAUUUCUUUUCUCUACUUUGAUGUUACAAGUGGAAGGGUCUACAGCUUCCGGCUCCACCAGGAAACUCUCCUCUUCCAGGAAAGAGGAGUAGCUUAUAGGAUGGUAAGCUUGGAAGAAGCUGAAGGUGCUUGUCCCAGUCCUUUCUUCCUUCCUCUUUGGGGAUUUGCCACCUACAAAAAGCACAUCUCACUCUGCUCUUCCGCAGCACCCAGAGGAGACACCUGCAUACCUGAUGCUGCCCUGACUGAUUGGGGAGCUAAGUCUCUUGCAGCGGGCAUAUUUGGGAAUCCAUUGUUGCUGCACAUGUAAAUCAUGGCCUUCAAAUCCAGCUGACCCUGUAGCAGAAACACAGAACUUGGUUACCAGUGAUUUUUAUCUGCAUUGGAUCUACUUUAAUAAACCCCACAGCCUGAAUAGCAGCUACUAGGGUAGUGCCAGUGGAUGUAUAUGGAGACUGGGCUGGAAUGGCUGAGUGUGUGGGUGCGCAGCUGGGAGCAGCCAUGGCAGUAAGUAGACAGCCAGUAACUUCUGAUAAAAGGGAGUAUCUGAAAACUGAAAGGCCCCAUAGGAAUGCCAACAACAUUUCAGAAGUUUUCAACCCAAAUUAAAGACGAAAAAAGUGAAGUAGAUGAUGCAAUAAAGAGUUGGCAAAUUCCCAGCUGGGCGCGGUGGCUCACGCCUGUAAUCCCAGCACUUUGGAAGGCCAAGGCGGGCGGAUCACGAG
RNAcentral lists this long non-coding RNA (1328 nucleotides) under Homo sapiens (human). Its description in RNAcentral is "HSALNT0380531". Lineage: Eukaryota; Metazoa; Chordata; Mammalia; Primates; Hominidae. The record is from RNAcentral.